Molecule: ribosomal RNA, 254 nt
Filed under: uncultured bacterium
Lineage: Bacteria
Description: partial 16S ribosomal RNA
Rfam family: Bacterial small subunit ribosomal RNA
Source: RNAcentral
UACAGAGGGGGCAAGCGUUGUUCGGAAUUACUGGGCGUAAAGGGCGCGUAGGCGGCCGCCUAAGUCAGACGUGAAAUCCCUCGGCUCAACCGGGGAACUGCGUCUGAUACUGGGUGGCUUGAAUCCGGGAGAGGGAUGCGGAAUUCCAGGUGUAGCGGUGAAAUGCGUAGAUAUCUGGAGGAACACCGGUGGCGAAGGCGGCAUCCUGGACCAAUAUUGACGCUGAGGAGCGAAAGCCAGGGGAGCAAAGCGGG